Homo sapiens (human) is the source of this 954-nucleotide long non-coding RNA. Ensembl annotates it as long intergenic non-protein coding RNA 1905. Lineage: Eukaryota; Metazoa; Chordata; Mammalia; Primates; Hominidae. The record is from Ensembl.
GUUUCAUGUGUGUUUCUGUUUAAAGACACCUUAUUUAAUAUAUGUUGUUGAUUCAUUAAUAUUGAACACAUGGCCAAAAUCAUUAUAACUCAUUCCUAAAUGAUGCUUAUCUAACACAUAUUUUCUUCAUUAGGUACAUCCCAGCCUUCUUGCACAUAGAAACACUACACAGCACUUCAGCUGUAUGUUUGGGGGCCAUUUUAAACAGCAAAAUCAUCAACAGGAAGCAGAAAAUUGUAAAAAUUGUGGCACUAAAUAGACCAUGUAAAGGACACAUGUUUGCAAUAAGAAAGCUGAAACAAGAAGGGGGAGUGUCACCUUAUUUGAUCCAGCUAGAAACUCAGGUGCUGGUAUUCCAGCAACACUCAGGCGGCUGCUCCAGGAGGCUGCAGAGGGGUCCUUUUUAGCCGUCAACAAAACUGGCUAUGGUCACGCCCAUUGGGAAACUCAUUGCUGCCUUCAAGGACUCAGAAGCUGUAGGAAUAUUCAGGCACAGACACCAGACCCAGCUUCAUCUCUAACUUGUGGCAAAGGACAGUACAUCCUGGGAUGGGACCCUAUGCUCCCCUAUGCCAUUUAGACAGAGCCUGGGGAGAGUGACUUCCCAGGGUAUCCAUGUUGGAAUCUCUCAUUUGAUUCUUAUUCAAAUUUAGGUUCUGUCAAUAGAAGAUACUAAAGAAAGAAAGCCAGGAGAAGAAAAGGGACUUCUUUCUUCAAGGUCUAAGCUGUUCUAAUAGCAUUAUUCUGGGAAUGGCAUCUUCCACUCCUCCUAGUACAAAGAACCUGCUUCCUCAUACCCCGUCAAGGAACUGCAGCAUCCAGGUACUUUCUCUGCCUCAAAGGUCUGCAUCCCAUUCUCCAUUUGGCCCCUCCUUUGAACUACCAGAUCUCCGGCUGGAUUGCCUUUUUGUUCUGGAAUUUUCUAAAUUUCUUUAUUAAAUUUCCCAGUUGAAA